RNAcentral lists this ribosomal RNA (472 nucleotides) under uncultured bacterium. Its description in RNAcentral is "partial 16S ribosomal RNA". It matches the Rfam family "Bacterial small subunit ribosomal RNA", at positions 28 to 507 of the family's 1533-position model. The record is from RNAcentral.
GACGAACGCUGGCGGCGUGCUUAACACAUGCAAGUCGAACGCUGAAGCUUGGUGCUUGCACUGGGUGGAUGAGUGGCGAACGGGUGAGUAAUACGUGAGUAACCUGCCCUUGACUCUGGGAUAAGCCCGGGAAACUGGGUCUAAUACUGGAUACGACAUGUCACCGCAUGGUGGUGUGUGGAAAGGGUUUUACUGGUCUUGGAUGGGCUCACGGCCUAUCAGCUUGUUGGUGGGGUAAUGGCUCACCAAGGCGACGACGGGUAGCCGGCCUGAGAGGGUGACCGGCCACACUGGGACUGAGACACGGCCCAGACUCCUACGGGAGGCAGCAGUGGGGAAUAUUGCACAAUGGGCGGAAGCCUGAUGCAGCGACGCCGCGUGAGGGAUGACGGCCUUCGGGUUGUAAACCUCUUUCAGCACGGAAGAAGCGAAAGUGACGGUACGUGCAGAAGAAGCGCCGGCUAACUACGUG